AGAUUGAACGCUGGCGGCAGGCCUAACACAUGCAAGUCGAGCGGUAGAGAGGUGCUUGCACCUCUUGAGAGCGGCGGACGGGUGAGUAAUGCCUAGGAAUCUGCCUAGGUGGUGGGGGAUAACGUUCGGAAACGGACGCUAAUACCGCAUACGUCCUAACGGGAGAAAGCGGGGGACCUUCGGGCCUCGCGCCAUUAGAUGAGCCUAGGUCGGAUUAGCUAGUUGGUGAGGUAAUGGCUACACCAAGGCGACGAUCCGUAACUGGUCUGAGAGGAUGAUCAGUCGCACUAGGAACGUGAGACACGGUCCAGACCUCCUAGGGAGCAGCGAGUAGGGGAAUAGUUAGGACAAGUGGGGACGAAAGCCGUAGGUAACUCCGAAGCCC
Molecule: ribosomal RNA, 385 nt
Filed under: uncultured soil bacterium
Lineage: Bacteria
Description: bacterial SSU rRNA
Rfam family: Bacterial small subunit ribosomal RNA
Source: RNAcentral